Astatotilapia calliptera (eastern happy) is the source of this 1772-nucleotide long non-coding RNA. NCBI's taxonomy places the organism in Eukaryota, Metazoa, Chordata, Actinopteri, Cichliformes, Cichlidae. The record is from Ensembl.
CUUUGUUGUCUGUGCAGCGCUCCAUUUCUCUCUCUUUCUCGCUUACUCAGAAAAUGACAGGAAGUGUAAAAGGAAGGGAAGUUGCUUCUCGCUUUGUGUACGUGUUUUGAAAUGUUGCGGCCAGCCUCUUCUUAAAUUACGAACUCUAUCGUGAGAACAUCAAAAAGUCCAGCGACGGCUUCUCUGAUGGGCAGCGGCACGAGUGUGAAUGGAUGUGUUUGCUGAAAACUCGAGAGGGAAGAAGACACCACGCGCCACGAGUCAUGCCUGUGCCAGUGUGAACAAGUACCUGUGCCUGAGCGCGCGCGUGUGUGUGUGUGCGUGAUCUUAUGGUACAACCAUGGCAAGAGCAGCACUUACUAAACUUCUUCUCCUCGUGAUUCUUGCCUUCAUCAUCUGCCUCCCGGAAUUUUUCACAUUUUACCAAGUAACAAAAGUGAACUUCUUCUGCCUUCCCUACCGACCCUGCGAACAAGGAAAUCAGGUGAAAGAGGGAGAAAAUGGAAAGGCUGGAAAUGAUGACGCUAAGAGAGGCCAUAUGUGUGACCCAUCUCAGACUCCAGAUCAGGAAAAAUGGGAGCAAGCGUGCAUACGAGAAGAUCAAAGCAAUACAACAGAUUCGGCUUCAGACGUCAGGCGAGGCAGAGAUGAUCCAAAAGCGAGGUGGUUCAUGUGUGAGACAGACAUGGAAAUGGCAGAAGUACACAGAAAUAUCUCAACUUCAGCUUACGAGUCACAUCUGGAGGUGUCAGCCGAGCUUCAUCUGCCCAACGCAGAGACCCUGAAUCUCACCUUGUACGGCCGCAGCAAUCACAGUUCCUUACACCUCUACCCACCUGAGGAGGAGGAGGAGGAGGAGGAGGAAAAUAAGGGUGGUGAUGAAGGACAGAGGAAGGCAUUCUACUGCUGUCUCCCUUUCCUGCCCAACUCUGAAUCGCCCAAUCAAAGCCGCUGUCUCCUUUGGUUCGCCAAUCAAACGGUUUGGAAUUCAACAGCAAAGGAAAAGCUGCCAUGGAAACGGACACAGAAAGAUGAGUGGCAGUGUGCGCUCAGAGUGGUCUGGCUGGCUCUGCUGUGUUUGGUGUUGCUGAGUAUAGUAACGAGUGUGAUCGGACAAAUCUACAAGAAAAGGCGUUUGUGCAGGAAGCCGAAGGUGCACCCUGAUGGCUUCAACUUAAUUACUCAGCAAUUAAAUGACGGUGCCAAAGAAACAGAAGUCAGCCCUCCUGAAGCAGGGACAAACCUCCACUUAUACGGGUUUCAUACCUGGUCAGGGCUCUCACCAAUUAAAGAAGUUGACAGUCAAAAUGACAUAUCAAUGUUAAUGGAUGGAAAUGCUGACCACUGCUAUACUGGUUUUCUGCAUCAUCGCAGCCAUCCCUCCGUCAGCUCCAUCAAAGAUGAGCCUGCUCGAUGACAGGCGAGCAGCCGGAGGAAGCUGGAGGAAAACAGCCGCCUCAUUUACCAGCAUUACUAAUGGUGAAAAUAAAGAUAUCUGAACCACCUACAUGUGCUUGUGAACUUAUUUUCAGCAUGUCAUCUCGGAAGCUUUGUCUAUGUUAGCACUUUAUUAGAGGACAGUCUCUACACAUUAUUAAACUAUCAAAAGUUAAAUAAAUGGAUUGGCCCUCGAACAUUUUUCACCCUGAAAGAACUAAAUUGUUUUGUAUUCUGAGUCAGAUGCAUGGCUGAUAAACAGCCUUACCCCGUCUGGUUAUAGCUGAAAGGAGCCAAAACAUUUUGACAGCACUGACUAAUGCUUAAUAGCUUUC